GUGCUUGCUUCGGCAGCACACAUACUAAAAUUGGAACGAUACAGAGAACAUUAGCAUGGCCCCUGCGCAAAGAUGACAUGCAGAUUCAUGAAGUGUUCCAUAUUUUA
This 107-nucleotide small nuclear RNA is filed under the name Vombatus ursinus (common wombat). The record is from RNAcentral. Lineage: Eukaryota; Metazoa; Chordata; Mammalia; Diprotodontia; Vombatidae.